GGGAGGUAGUGACAAUAAAUACCUUACAGAGGUCUCGUUAACCGAGAUCUCUCAAACGGAAUGAGUACAACGUGAAUCCUUUAACGAGGAUCGACUGGAGGGCAAGCCUGGUGCCAGCAGCCGCGGUAAUUCCAGCUCCAGUAGCGUAUAUUAAAGCUGUUGCGGUUAAAAAGCUCGUAGUUGGAUAUCAGUGCGUGUCCGGUCCGGUAUGCCUGGCGGCGGCGCUCGCGCGUCACUGCUGGGCUCCCAAAUAUCGGCUGGCCGCAUUCAAUCGUGCCGGAUCCGUCGCCGGGCCGUUCUUCGGAGGGGCCUGGUGGCGACCGGCGACGUUACCUUGAACAAAUUAGAGUGCUCAAAGCAGGCUCUGAAUGCCUGUAUACAUAUUCAUGGAAUUGGAGAAUACGUCCCUGGCUCGAUUUGGUUGGUUUUGAGAGUCGAAGGGAAAUGAUUAAUAGGGACUGACGGAGGCAUUCGUAUUGCGACGCGAGGGGUGAAAUCCUGUGACCGUCGCACGACGAACUACUGCGAAAGCAUUUGCCGAGAAUGUUUUCAUUAGUCAAGAACGAAAGUUAGAGGUUCGAAGGCGAUCAGAUACCGCCCUAGUUCUAACCGUAAACGAUGUCGACCAGCAAUCCGCAACGGUCACUACACGGACUGUGCGGGCAGCUUCCCCGGGGAAACCAGAGUUUUUGGACUCCGGGGGAAGUAUGGUUGCAAAGCUGAAACUUAAAGGAAUUGACGGAAGGGCACCACCAGGAGUGGAGCUUGCGGCUUAAUUUGACUCAACACGGGACAACUCACCAGGCCCGGACACCGUAAGGAUUGACAGACUGAUAGCUCUCUCUUGAUUCAGUGGGUGGUGGUGCAUGGCCGUUCUUAGUUGGUGGAGUGAUUUGUCUGGUUUAUUCCGAUAACGAACGAGACUCUGGCCUAUUAAACUUGACACUGUCAGUCUCUUGUGACUGCGGUGGGCUUC
Molecule: ribosomal RNA, 976 nt
Filed under: Amphibalanus sp. Bcl4117PM1379
Lineage: Eukaryota; Metazoa; Arthropoda; Thecostraca; Balanomorpha; Balanidae
Description: SSU rRNA
Rfam family: Eukaryotic small subunit ribosomal RNA
Source: RNAcentral